GACGAACGCUGGCGGCGUGCUUAACACAUGCAAGUCGAACGGAAAGGCCUGCUUUCCCUUGUGGAUUGCGGGUACUCGAGUGGCGAACGGGUGAGUAACACGUGAGUGAUCUGCCCCCAACUUGGGUAUAAGCCUGGGAAACUGGGUCUAAUUCCAGAUAGGACUGCAGGGUGGUGCCUGUGGUGGAAAACGAUUUUCUAGUGGUUGGGGAUGAGCUCGCGGCCUAUCAGCUUGUUGGUGGGGUAAUGGCCUACCAAGGCGGCGACGGGUAGCCGGCCUGAGAGGGUGGACGGCCACAUUGGGACUGAGAUACGGCCCAGACUCCUACGGGAGGCAGCAGUGGGGAAGAAUGCACAAUGGGCGGAAGCCUGAUGCAGCGACGCCGCGUGGGGGAUGACGGCCUUCGGGUUGUAAACUCCUUCCGACCGCGAGGAAGCCACCUGGUUGGAAGGGUGGUGACGGUAGUGGUAGAAGAAGCACCGGCUAACUACGUG
This 494-nucleotide ribosomal RNA is filed under the name uncultured bacterium. RNAcentral describes it as "partial 16S ribosomal RNA". It matches the Rfam family "Bacterial small subunit ribosomal RNA", at positions 28 to 507 of the family's 1533-position model. The record is from RNAcentral.